Molecule: ribosomal RNA, 896 nt
Filed under: uncultured bacterium
Lineage: Bacteria
Description: bacterial SSU rRNA
Rfam family: Bacterial small subunit ribosomal RNA
Source: RNAcentral
CGUGGGGCUCAACCCCAUCCAGCCGUUGAAACUGGGGAUCUAGAGUGUGCGAGAGGUAUGCGGAAUGCGUGGUGUAGCGGUGAAAUGCAUAGAUAUCACGCAGAACCCCGAUUGCGAAGGCAGCAUACCGGUGCACAACUGACGCUCAGGCACGAAAGCGUGGGUAUCGAACAGGAUUAGAUACCCUGGUAGUCCACGCAGUAAACGAUGAAUGCUACCUGUUUGGCCAGAUUGAUGGCUGAGCGGGACAGCGAAAGCGUUAAGCAUUCCACCUGGGGAGUACGCCGGCAACGGUGAAACUCAAAGGAAUUGACGGGGGCCCGCACAAGCGGAGGAACAUGUGGUUUAAUUCGAUGAUACGCGAGGAACCUUACCCGGGCUCAAACGCAUACUGACGACAGUUGAAAGAUUGUUUCCCUUCGGGGCAUUAUGCGAGGUGCUGCAUGGUUGUCGUCAGCUCGUGCCGUGAGGUGUCGGCUUAAGUGCCAUAACGAGCGCAACCCCUAUCGACAGUUGCUAACGAGUAGAGUCGAGGACUCUGUCGAGACUGCCGGCGCAAGCUGUGAGGAAGGCGGGGAUGACGUCAAAUCAGCACGGCCCUUACGUCCGGGGCGACACACGUGUUACAAUGGCAGGGACAGCGGGAAGCCACCAAGCGAUUGGGCGCGGAACCCGAAACCCUGUCUCAGUUCGGAUUGGAGUCUGCAACUCGACUCCAUGAAGCUGGAUUCGCUAGUAAUCGCGCAUCAGCCAUGGCGCGGUGAAUACGUUCCCGGGCCUUGUACACACCGCCCGUCAAGCCAUGGGAGUCGGGAGUGCCUGAAGUUCGUGACCGUUUAGGAGCGACCUAGGGCAAGACUGAUGACUGGGGCUAAGUCGUAACAAGGUAACCGUAA